This 1112-nucleotide long non-coding RNA is filed under the name Cricetulus griseus (Chinese hamster). RNAcentral describes it as "lncRNA (ENSCGRG00000024810.1)". Lineage: Eukaryota; Metazoa; Chordata; Mammalia; Rodentia; Cricetidae. The record is from RNAcentral.
GCAAUGGUUAUAGACUCAAUGGUUAUAGACUCAAAGGUAAGAGUUGAUACUCUGGAGCUGGAGCGGUGGCGUUUGGAGCAGACACGAAACUGGAUGGCUUCUACAGGGAGCCAGGCCUCUGAUAUAGACAAGAUUUUUGGAUUCUUCAAUGAUGGCGAACCCCCAACCAGAAAGCCCAGGAAGCUACUUCCAAGCUUGAAAACCAGGAAACCUCGAGAACUUGUGCUAGUGAUUGGAACUGGCAUUAGUGCUGCAGUUGCACCGCAAGCCCCAGCCCUGAAAUCCUGGAAGGGGUUAUUUCAGGCCUUGCUUGAUGCUGCUAUUGAUUUUGAUCUUUUAGAAGAUGAGGAAAGCAAAAAGUUUCAGAAGUAUCUCCAUGGAGACAAGAACCUCGUCCAUGUUGCCCAUGACCUCAUUCAGAAACUCUCCCUUCAUACCAGUAAUGUUCGAUACACAUUUUUCAAAGACUGUUUAUAUGAAGUAUUUGAUGACCUGGAGUCAAAGAUGGGAGAUUCUGGAAAACAGCUCCUUCAGUCUGUUCUCCAUCUGAUGGAAAAUGGAGCUCUAAUAUUAACUACAAAUUUUGAUAAUCUUCUAGAACUAUAUGCAGCUGACCAGGGAAAACAGCUUGAAUCCCUCGACCUUACUGAUGAGAAAAAGAGAGAGAUUCAGAAACUCUAUGAAAACAAGUCAUUUCUUUUCUUAGGUUGUGGCUGGACGGUGGACAACACCACUUUCCAGGCCCUGUUCCUAGAGGCUGUCAAGCAUAAAUCUGACUUAGAACAUUUCAUGCUGGUUCGGAGAGGAGAUGUAGUGAGUUCAAGAAGCUUCGAGAAAACAUGCUGGAUGAGGGGAUUAAAGUCAUCUCCUAUGGGAAUGACUAUGCUGAUCUUCCAGAAUAUUUCAAGCAACUGACAUAUGAGAUCUCCACAAGAGGCAGACCAGGGAUGGCAAGAGAAGGCCAUCUAAAUGGUUCAUCUGCAGCACACAGGGAAAUAAGAGGCUGUAGUACAUGAGCAAGCUGGAGAAAUCACCAUUAGACCCCGCUGUGGGGCCUUCCUGUGGAUGUGGAUGUGUUUACCAAGCAAACAUACAAGAACUCAGCACAGCUC